AACGAACGCUGGCGGCAGGCUUAACACAUGCAAGUCGAACGGGUGCAGCAAUGCAUCAGUGGCAGACGGGUGAGUAACACGUGGGAACCUUCCUAGGGGUACGGAACAACUCAGGGAAACUUGAGCUAAUACCGUAUACGUCCGUGAGGAGAAAGAUUUAUCGCCCUUAGACGGGCCCGCGUCGGAUUAGCUAGUUGGUGGGGUAACGGCCUACCAAGGCGACGAUCCGUAGCUGAUCUUAGAGGAUGAUCAGCCACACUGGGACUGAGACACGGCCCAGACUCCUACGGGAGGCAGCAGUGGGGAAUCUUGGACAAUGGGCGCAAGCCUGAUCCAGCCAUGCCGCGUGAGUGAAGAAGGUCUUCGGAUUGUAAAGCUCUUUUGCCAGGGACGAUAAUGACGGUACCUGGAGAAUAAGCCCCGGCAAACUUCGUGCCAGCAGCCGCGGUAAU
RNAcentral lists this ribosomal RNA (452 nucleotides) under uncultured bacterium. RNAcentral describes it as "bacterial SSU rRNA". It matches the Rfam family "Bacterial small subunit ribosomal RNA", at positions 29 to 524 of the family's 1533-position model. The record is from RNAcentral.